This 157-nucleotide small nuclear RNA is filed under the name Sphenodon punctatus (tuatara). RNAcentral's name for it is "U4 spliceosomal RNA (ENSSPUG00000000246.1)". It matches the Rfam family "U4 spliceosomal RNA". Rfam says of the family: U4 small nuclear RNA (U4 snRNA) is a component of the major U2-dependent spliceosome. The structure of U4 snRNA from yeast and human has been reported. Lineage: Eukaryota; Metazoa; Chordata; Lepidosauria; Sphenodontia; Sphenodontidae. The record is from Rfam by way of RNAcentral.
AGCUUUGUGCAGUGGUCGUAUCAUAGUCCAUGAGGUUAAACUGAGUCAUGAUUAGAUUAUUGCUAAAUGAAAACUUUUCUCUAGGAGCCACACAGCAAACACAGGUUUGGGAUUGUAGCUACAUCUCCAAUAGAAUGUGUGAAAAUAUCCAAAGAAG